GACGAACGCUGGCGGCGUGCUUAACACAUGCAAGUCGAACGGAAAGGCCCUGCUUUUGUGGGGUGCUCGAGUGGCGAACGGGUGAGUAACACGUGAGUAACCUGCCCUUGACUUUGGGAUAACUUCAGGAAACUGGGGCUAAUACCGGAUAGGAGCUCCCGCUGCAUGGAGGGGGUUGGAAAGUCUCUGCGGUUGGGGAUGGACUCGCGGCUUAUCAGCUUGUUGGUGGGGUAGUGGCUGACCAAGGCUUUGACGGGUAGCCGGCCUGAGAGGGUGACCGGCCACCUUGGGCCUGCGGUACGGCCCAGUCUCCUACGGGAGGCAGCAGUGGGGAAUAUUGCACAGUGGGCGGACGCCUGAUGCAGCAGCGCCGCGUGCGUGAUGACGGCCUUCGGGUUGUAAACCGCUUUCGCCUGUGACGAAGCGUUAGUGACGGUAAUGGGUGAAGAAGCACCGGCUAACUACGUG
Molecule: ribosomal RNA, 468 nt
Filed under: uncultured bacterium
Lineage: Bacteria
Description: partial 16S ribosomal RNA
Rfam family: Bacterial small subunit ribosomal RNA
Source: RNAcentral